This 465-nucleotide ribosomal RNA is filed under the name Vreelandella stevensii. Its description in RNAcentral is "partial 16S ribosomal RNA". It matches the Rfam family "Bacterial small subunit ribosomal RNA", at positions 338 to 795 of the family's 1533-position model. Lineage: Bacteria; Pseudomonadati; Pseudomonadota; Gammaproteobacteria; Oceanospirillales; Halomonadaceae. The record is from RNAcentral.
CCUACGUGUGGCAGCAGUGGGGAAUAUUGGACAAUGGGCGAAAGCCUGAUCCAGCCAUGCCGCGUGUGUGAAGAAGGCCUUCGGGUUGUAAAGCACUUUCAGUGGGGAAGAAAGCCUUGGGGCUAAUACCCUCGAGGAAGGACAUCACCCACAGAAGAAGCACCGGCUAACUCCGUGCCAGCAGCCGCGGUAAUACGGAGGGUGUGAGCGUUAAUCGGAAUUACUGGGCGUAAAGCGCGCGUAGGCGGUCUGAUAAGCCGGUUGUGAAAGCCCCGGGCUCAACCUGGGAACGGCAUCCGGAACUGUCAGGCUAGAGUGCAGGAGAGGAAGGUAGAAUUCCCGGUGUAGCAGUGAAAUGCUUAGAGAUCGGGAGGAAUACCAGUGGCGAAGGCGGCCUUCUGGACUGACACUGACGCUGAGGUGCGAAAGCGUGGGUAGCAAACAGGAUUAGAUACCCGUGUAGUC